RNAcentral lists this ribosomal RNA (494 nucleotides) under uncultured bacterium. RNAcentral describes it as "partial 16S ribosomal RNA". It matches the Rfam family "Bacterial small subunit ribosomal RNA", at positions 28 to 507 of the family's 1533-position model. The record is from RNAcentral.
GACGAACGCUGGCGGCGUGCUUAACACAUGCAAGUCGAACGGUGAAGCGCCUUCCUUUUUGGUGGGUGUGGAUGAGUGGCGAACGGGUGAGUAACACGUGAGUAACCUGCCCCCUUCUUCUGGAUAACCGCAUGAAAGUGUGGCUAACACGGGAUAUUCUGGGUCUGUCGCAUGAUGGGUCUGGGAAAGAUAUUGUUUCGGUGGGGGAUGGGCUCGCGGCCUAUCAGCUUGUUGGUGGGGUGAUGGCCUACCAAGGCGGUGACGGGUAGCCGGCCUGAGGGGGUGGACGGUCACACUGGGACUGAGACACGGCCCAGACUCCUACGGGAGGCAGCAGUGGGGAAUAUUGCACAAUGGGCGCAAGCCUGAUGCAGCGACGCCGCGUGAGGGAUGGAGGCCUUCGGGUUGUGAACCUCUUUCGCCAGUGAAGCAGGCCUGCCUCGUUUGUGGGUGGGUUGACGGUAGCUGGAUAAGAAGCGCCGGCUAACUACGUG